GGAUCAUUAUCGAGUGUUAAACUCCCAACCCUAUGUGAACAUAUAUCGUUGCCUCGGCGGGGAAACCUACCCUGUAGGGCAAACCGCCGGAGGAUUUUCAACUCUUGUUUUUUGUGGCAUCUGAGCUUAUAACUUAAUACGUUAAAACUUUCAACAACGGAUCUCUUGGUUCUGGCAUCGAUGAAGAACGCAGCGAAAUGCGAUAAGUAAUGUGAAUUGCAGAAUUCAGUGAAUCAUCGAAUCUUUGAACGCACAUUGCGCCCAUUAGUUAUUCUAGUGGGCAUGCCUGUUCGAGCGUCAUUUCAACCCUCAAGCCCUGUUGCUUGGUGUUGGGAGCCUGCCGCGAGGCAGCUCCUCAAAGUGAGCUGGCAGAGUUGUGGUAUACUCUAAGCGUAGUAAAUCUUCUCGCUUCAGGGGCUGCUACGGCAAUAGCCAUAAACCUUUAUUUUCUAGUGGUUGACCUCGGAUCAGGUAGGAAUACCCGCUGAACUUAAGCAUAUCAAUAAGCGGAGGAAAAGAAACCAACAGGGAUUGCCCUAGUAACGGCGAGUGAAGCGGCAACAGCUCAAAUUUGAAAUCUGGCCUUCGGGUCCGAAUUGUAAUUUGUAGAGGAUGCAUUUGGCGCGGUGCCUUCUGAGUUCCCUGGAACGGGACGCCUUAGAGGGUGAGAGCCCCGUACAGUUGGACGCCUAGCCUUUGUAAUGCUCCUUCGACGAGUCGAGUAGUUUGGGAAUGCUGCUCUAAAUGGGAGGUAAAUUUCUUCUAAAGCUAAAUACCGGCCAGAGACCGAUAGCGCACAAGUAGAGUGAUCGAAAGAUGAAAAGCACUUUGAAAAGAGGGUUAAAUAGCACGUGAAAUUGUUGAAAGGGAAGCGUUUGCGACCAGACUUUUUCCUGGCGGAUCAUCCGGUGUUCUCACCGGUGCACUUCGCCUGGUUUAGGCCAGCGUCGAUUUUUGGAGGGGGAUAAAGGCUUAGGGAACGUAGCUCCUCCGGGAGUGUUAUAGCCCUUUGCGUAAUACCCCUCCGGGGAUCGAGGU
This 1038-nucleotide ribosomal RNA is filed under the name Xylariomycetidae sp. genotype 306. RNAcentral describes it as "eukaryotic LSU rRNA". The stretch from base 458 to 1038 matches the Rfam family "Eukaryotic large subunit ribosomal RNA", at positions 1 to 592 of the family's 3401-position model. Lineage: Eukaryota; Fungi; Ascomycota; Sordariomycetes. The record is from RNAcentral.